GACGAACGCUGGCGGCGUGCUUAACACAUGCAAGUCGAACGGAAAGGCCCCCUUGUGGGGUACUCGAGUGGCGAACGGGUGAGUAACACGUGAGUAACCUACCCUUGACUUUGGGAUAACUUCAGGAAACUGGGGCUAAUACCGGAUAGGAGCUCCUGCUGCAUGGUGGGGGUUGGAAAGUUUCGGCGGUUGGGGAUGGACUCGCGGCUUAUCAGCUUGUUGGUGGGGUAGUGGCUCACCAAGGCUUUGACGGGUAGCCGGCCUGAGAGGGUGACCGGCCAUAUUGGGACUGAGAUACGGCCCAGACUCCUACGGGAGGCAGCAGUGGGGAAUAUUGCACAAUGGGCGGAAGCCUGAUGCAGCAACGCCGCGUGCGGGAUGACGGCCUUCGGGUUGUAAACCGCUUUCGCCUGUGACGAAGCGUGAGUGACGGUAAUGGGUAAAGAAGCACCGGCUAACUACGUG
Molecule: ribosomal RNA, 465 nt
Filed under: uncultured bacterium
Lineage: Bacteria
Description: partial 16S ribosomal RNA
Rfam family: Bacterial small subunit ribosomal RNA
Source: RNAcentral